AAAAACCAUCAGGCAGGGCUUUCAUGCCAUGCCUGGAUCUUGUCAGAGAGGCAGGUGACUCGAGGUCCCUCUGCCCUUUGUAAAACCAUGGAUAUUUUGAAGUCGUCCCAACGUGAUAGAAUAUUUCAUUCGCUGGUGCCGUCAUCUUCAGAUCUUUCCAAAAACAAAACCCACAAAAUUGUUAAAU
Molecule: unclassified non-coding RNA, 187 nt
Filed under: uncultured Pezizaceae
Lineage: Eukaryota; Fungi; Ascomycota; Pezizomycetes; Pezizales; Pezizaceae
Description: sequence contains ITS2
Source: RNAcentral